This is an RNA transcript of Oncorhynchus gorbuscha (pink salmon), 1420 nucleotides long. It is a transcript of the gene named unconventional myosin-VIIa-like, with no coding region annotated. NCBI's taxonomy places the organism in Eukaryota, Metazoa, Chordata, Actinopteri, Salmoniformes, Salmonidae. The transcript has 4 exons. The record is from RefSeq and is a predicted model, not a curated record.
CAGUAUGCCCAGGAGCAGGGUGCCCAGGUGCAGGGUGCCCAGGAGCAGUAUGCCCAGGAGCAGGGUGCCCAGGAGCAGGGUGCCAAGGAGCAAGGUGCCAAGGAGCAAGGUGCCCAGGAGCAGUAUGCCAAUGAGCCGUAUGCCAAGGAGCAGGGUGCCCAGGAGCAGGGUGCCCAGGAGCAGUAUGCCAAGGAGCAGGGUGCCCAGGAGCAGGGUGCCCAGGAGCAGGGUGCCCAGGAGCAGGGUGCCCAGGAGCAGGGUGCCCAGGAGCAGGGUGCCCAGGAGCAAGGUGCCAUAUGGAACCUGGUCAAAGGUAGUGCACUAUAUAGGUCCAAGUCAGCCUAAGAAUGAUGUAAUUGUGGACAGGGGUCUACUUUAUAGACGAACAGGAGCAGGUGCUGCUAGAACUCUCUUUCCCAGAGAUCACUGCAGUCUCCAGCAGCAGAGAUGGCAAGCUGCAGGGGCAGAGUUUUGCGUUGGUGACCAUGAAGGGCGAUGAGUUUACAUUCACGUCAACCAACUCUGAGGACAUCAGAGACCUUGUGGUAACAUUCCUAGAGGGCCUGAGGAACCGGUCCAAGUAUGUGGUGGCUCUGCAGGACAACACCAACGCUGUUGGGGAGUCUACGUUCCUGUCGUUUCAAAGGGGAGACCUGAUCCUAUUGGACCAGGAGACGGGUCAGCAGGUCAUGACCUCAGGCUGGGCCCACGGGGUCAAUGAAUGGACCAAUCAGAAAGAAGAUUUCCCUGCUGACGCCGUCUACGUCCUGCCGACUGUUACUAGACCUCAGGCCGACGUAGUGGUAAGACAUACACACACACAGCCUUUACACACACACACAGCCUUUGCAUGAUCCUCAAACCUCUCUCUCUAGACGUUGGUUACCAUGACACCAGACCAGCGACAGGAGACGGUCCGUUUGUCUCAGCUGGUUCUCCCGGAAACUGGAGAGGGUUAAACCUUACACACUGGAAGAGUUCAGCUAUGACCACUUCAGGUAGACAUGCACGUAUGCAUUUAUUUAUUUUUUCAACCUUUAUUUAACUAGGCAAGUCAGUUCAGAACAAAUUCUGAUUUGCAAUGACAGCCUAGGAAAAGUGGGUUAACUGCCUUGUUUAGGGGCAGUGUGGCGGGCCAGGCGCACGCACGUUGACUUCGGUCGCCAGGUUAAGUGAGCAGUGUGUCAACACUGUGUUUCGGAGGAUGCAUGGCUCUCGACCUUCGCCUCUCCCGAGUCCACGGCAGUUGCAGCAAUGGGACAAGACUGUAACUACCAAUUGGAUAUCACGAAAAAGGGGUAAAAAGUACCAAAAUAAACAACAACAAAAAAGCUCUAUUGUAGAUUAGAACCCUCAGACUCAGAUUGAAUCUUGGCUGAGGUGUCUGUUUUUAUAAAAACAAUAAAGAUGAUUGGAUGAG